UACGAAGGGGGCUAGCGUUGCUCGGAAUCACUGGGCGUAAAGGGUACGUAGGCGGUGGAGUAAGUCAGUGGUGAAAGCCAACAGCUCAACUGUUGAACUGCCAUUGAUACUGCUUCACUUGAGCGCAGUUGAGGUGGGUGGAAUUCCAUGUGUAACGGUGAAAUGCUUAGAUAUAUGGAGGAACACCGAUAACGAAGGUAACUCACUAAACUGUAACUGACGCUGAAGGUACGAAAAGCGUGGGGAGCAAACGGG
RNAcentral lists this ribosomal RNA (255 nucleotides) under uncultured bacterium. RNAcentral's name for it is "partial 16S ribosomal RNA". It matches the Rfam family "Bacterial small subunit ribosomal RNA", at positions 524 to 776 of the family's 1533-position model. The record is from RNAcentral.